Long non-coding RNA from Numida meleagris (helmeted guineafowl), 675 nucleotides. RefSeq lists it as uncharacterized. NCBI's taxonomy places the organism in Eukaryota, Metazoa, Chordata, Aves, Galliformes, Numididae. The record is from RefSeq and is a predicted model, not a curated record. The transcript is spliced from 3 exons.
CAUAAGGUGGACUCCCUCAGUCCACAUAGGCAGAGUCUGGGCAUGACUCUGGUACUUUAGAGCAGAGCACACAGAUCAACGUGCUCUAGUGCAUUAGACAAGCUCCAGUACCACGCAAAAAGUACAACGUGACCUGAUAGUGAGCAGAGGAGGAAGGGAGUGUGCAAGAGGAGAGAACUGGUUGCCCUUCUCUCACAGUGAAGGGGCUUCCCUGCAGUAUGAACUCACACGGACAAGCAGACUACAUUGUUAUGACAGGACCUGGAAAAACUAAGUUCUAGUGCUAGCUCUGAUGAGGACUCGUUGGCAGUCUUGCAAGCAAGUCAGUACACUCAGCCUUCAUUCUUCAAGAAGCUGCAGCCUGUCAAAUAUCCAAAAUCUGUCUCCAUCCCAUACAUGAAGCAGCAAAAGGUGACUGAACACAAUCUCCACUGCCUUCACAGAAGAAAUGCUGCAGUGGAGUGGGGAGAAAAACAUCAGGAAAGUUGCUUCUGCCACCAAGAUAAGUGAUGUUAGGUCUGCUUUGGACUGCAAAUGCAGGAAGGAAUAUUUAAGUAUUUGGAAGUUGUUUGCUAAACAGCUUUUGCCAUCCUCUCUGGGAAAGCAAACAGAUGGAAAUGUAUUGGGUGACAGAUUCAGUUCGUCGCCUAUUGGCUGAAAUACAUUGAUCAGAAA